RNAcentral lists this ribosomal RNA (520 nucleotides) under uncultured Leptotrichia sp. RNAcentral's name for it is "bacterial SSU rRNA". It matches the Rfam family "Bacterial small subunit ribosomal RNA", at positions 648 to 1171 of the family's 1533-position model. The record is from RNAcentral. Lineage: Bacteria; Fusobacteriati; Fusobacteriota; Fusobacteriia; Fusobacteriales; Leptotrichiaceae.
ACUGGAAAGGUGGGUGGAACUACACGAGUAGAGGUGAAAUUCGUAGAUAUGUGUAGGAAUGCCGAUGAUGAAGAUAACUCACUGGACAGAAACUGACGCUGAAGUGCGAUAGCUAGGGGAGCAAACAGGAUUAGAUACCCUGGUAGUCCUAGCUGUAAACGAUGAUCACUGGGUGUGGGGAUGCGAAGUCUCUGUGCCGAAGCAAAAGCGAUAAGUGAUCCGCCUGGGGAGUACGUUCGCAAGAAUGAAACUCAAAGGAAUUGACGGGGGCCCGCACAAGUGGUGGAGCAUGUGGUUUAAUUCGACGCAACGCGAGGAACCUUACCAGAUCUUGACAUCCUCGGGAGAGUAUAGAAGUAUACUUGUGCCUUCGGGAACCGAGAGACAGGUGGUGCAUGGCUGUCGACAGCUCGUGUUGUGAGAUGUUGGGUUAAGUCCCGCAACGAGCGAAACACCUAUCAUUACUUGCCAUCAUUAAGUAGGGGACUCUAAUGAAACUGCCUACGAAGAGUAGGAGGAA